Non-coding RNA from Gilliamella sp. N-G2, 175 nucleotides. NCBI's taxonomy places the organism in Bacteria, Pseudomonadati, Pseudomonadota, Gammaproteobacteria, Orbales, Orbaceae. The record is from Rfam.
AACAAAAGAAGAGGCGCAUUACUCAGGUAGAUCAUUUUAGGAACUGGAGCCGUAAAGAGAUGAUUAAUGGGGUGUAAUGCCGAGGUUUGAUUGUCAUUCCAGAAAGCAAUUGAAUCGGCUACAAGGGCUGAAUCCCUUGGGUUGUCACCCUAACAGGUGGAGCGCUUCACGGUAU